This 803-nucleotide non-coding RNA is filed under the name Notidobia ciliaris. Lineage: Eukaryota; Metazoa; Arthropoda; Insecta; Trichoptera; Sericostomatidae. The record is from RNAcentral.
UAAAAGUUUUUUAACUUUGAUAUUUAAUUUUAAUUAAUGUAUAAAUAAAUAAUUGUAUAAUUUUUUAUAUAAAAUUUAAAAUUUUUAUAUUUUAAUUAAUAAAUGUAUAAUAUUUUUAUAUUAAAAAUUAAAGAAAUUUAGAUUUAGUAAUUAAAUAUAAUUUAAUUGAUUAAAUUUGUGCCAGCAAUCGCGGUUAAACAAAUAAUUAAAUAAAUAUUUUUUUAUUUUAAUUAAUAAAAAUGGUUAAAUAAUUUUAAAAUGAAAUUUUAAUUUAAUAGGUAAAAUUUUAAAUUAAAAAUUUUUUAAAUAUUAUUAAAGUUUUAUAUGAAGUUGAUAAAAUAAUAAAUAAACUAGGAUUAGAUACCCUAUUAUUGUAAAAAUAAAGAUGUAAUAAAAAGUAUUGAUAAGGUUAUUUUAUAAAUUUAAAAGAAUUGGCAGUAUUUUAAUCUAUUUAGAGGAAUUUGUUAUGUAAUUGAUAUUCCACGAAUAAAUUUACUUAAUUUGUUGAAUUUGUAUAUCAUUGUUAUAAAAGCUUAUUUUAAAAUUUAAAGUUUAAUAUUUUUAAAAAAAAGUUAUAUCAAAUCAUGAUGCAGUUUAUAUUUAAGGUUUUAAAUGAAUUAUAAUAAAUUUAUUUUUGAAUAAAAAAUUGGAAAAUUUUUUUGAAAUUAGAUUUAAAAGUAAUUUUAUAUUAAUUUAAUAAAAUGAUUUAGUUUUAAAAUAUGUACAUAUUGCCCGUCAUUUUCAUUUUAAAUUGAAACAAGUCGUAACAAAGUAGAAUUACUGGAAAGUGUUUCUAGAAUGUU